RNAcentral lists this unclassified non-coding RNA (1891 nucleotides) under Patiria miniata (bat star). RNAcentral's name for it is "migration and invasion-inhibitory protein-like, transcript variant X3". Lineage: Eukaryota; Metazoa; Echinodermata; Asteroidea; Valvatida; Asterinidae. The record is from RNAcentral.
UCCCAUUGCACCUCGGGAAAUUCGUUCAGGUACUGCGGGUCAUUUAAUUUUUGUCUGCCAAUUUAUUUUAUUUCCCUUGAAAAAGGCUCAAACUGGCGUUGUUAAGAGGCGUUGUUUUAGAUAUUCCCAGGGAACAGGGCCCGUAAAUAAGCAGUUUCCAGAAUUCGGCUCAGCACAGAAGAGAUUUGAGGAAUCAACAAUUUGCUCUCAUCAUGACGGAAGACCUGAGCGACAUGGAGAGGUUACGAGCACAGAAUCUAUCUCUCCUCAAGGAACUACAGAAGGGACAGCGUGACCUGAGGGCAUCCAUCAGGUCCACAGGGGCCAACAGAGGGAGCCCUUUAAAAGAGUCCAGCGUGAAGUUUCAGAGGGAUUUGCUGGAUGUCUCAACAAUGUCUUCUGUUCGACACAAGCCAACAAGAGAUGCUCCACACUCGCGCCUGACGAGCACACCCAAGCAUACAAACUCAGCCACCAAACCCAGGGGUGGUUCACAUCCGCAAGAUGAACCCUUCCCAAAUCCACCAGUCGUUGAUCCCGUGCCGACCGCCACCCCAACCCGUCUGUACGAAAGUUUUCUCAGCGAGAGUCAUUCCACAUUCGGGCGAAGUUCAGGCAAACGUGACAAGGCAAAGACUGUAAAGCAGACGAGACGAAAAACUCCGGGUAGCAGUACAAAAGGAACAACCGGAAGUAUCAAACGGAAAAGUCGAACCCCAAGAAAAUCACCCAAAUAUCGAACGGGAGCAAGUGUCACUACCUUCACCCCGAGUCCAAACAAGAAAGGACCCAAAAUUCCUUACUCAGUACGACUUGAGACUUCAAGCCUGCUCCCUCCUCCGUUAUCUGAGAAAGAAAACCUCCGGGGUCAGGGGUCACGGUAUGGGUACCGGCGACCCCUUGACUUAGCGCAUGAGGAGUCGUAUUACCAGCUGAACAGGGACAGUCCGCUCAGGACUGGACCGCAGAUGGGUCAACUUGAGAGAAGUUUUGCAGGACAGCUCUUGGCUGACGGCAAUGACAGGCGACAAAGGAAAAGAAGCCAGGAGGUCACGACACAACCCAAGUCCAUUUUGUUGACACCGGGAACAAGACUGAACAAGUCAAGAAACAGGGUCAGCUUCCGCCGUUCACCGAGCGCGUCAGCGACCUUUGACCCUGAUGACAGCUUGGCUAACCGGAGCCAGCCUCUCCUGGGAUACGAUUGGAUCGCGGGGCUGCUGGACUCGGACGCGCCAGUCAGCGAGCACUCCGAGGCUUUCUUUGACGAGUUGCGACAGUUCCGACAAGCCAACAGGGAAGAGUGCAUACACAAGGCAACAACUGAGAAGCUUGAUGUAUCAGCCCUGACUGCAAGUGUUACCGAUGAUCUACAGGAAGAUAUGAAACCAGACAGGCAUACAUGUAUUCACAACUACACCUUGAACCCUCGUCUGUUUGCCGUUCCCUUACACGGUACCCAGAACGGUCAGAGCCUGUGUGCCAUCUGUAAUGAUCGACGGAAACCCAAACAGCCUGGAGCCAGUUCCCCAUCCUAUAUCAGAGUGAGCAUUCCGAGAUCCACCCUGGCCUCCCCCUACCGGCUCCGCCCCCAUCGGAGGAAAAGCUACGAUCCUACAGACUCGGUUGGGCUGUCACAGCACUGCCUUGCUGGUUGGCAGAGCUCCAAGCCAUCCAUGCUACCCACCGCUUCCAACAUUGACCUGAAGGGCUGUGUGGACAAGAUGGCUUCCAGUGCACUCAACCUGAUGGUAACAUGACUCAGAUCUUCAUUCCUCUUCAUUGCAGUCCUUCUGAUUUGAAAAUCACAGUCUUACCCAUCCCAAGAGCCCUCCUUUCGCUGCGAGAAUGCAGCAAGAAUCUCCAAGCACACGCAAGAGUUGUUGAAUCG